Molecule: ribosomal RNA, 253 nt
Filed under: uncultured bacterium
Lineage: Bacteria
Description: partial 16S ribosomal RNA
Rfam family: Bacterial small subunit ribosomal RNA
Source: RNAcentral
UACGUAGGCAGCGAGCGUUGUUCGGAGUUACUGGGCGUAAAGAGUGCGUAGGCGGUUUUCUAAGUUUGGUGUGAAAUCUCCCGGCUCAACUGGGAGGGUGCGCCGAAGACUGGAAGGCUUGAGUAUGGGAGAGGUAAGCGGAAUUCCUGGUGUAGCGGUGAAAUGCGUAGAUAUCGAGAGGAACACCUGCGGCGAAGGCGGGUAGCUGGGCCGACACUGACGCUGAGGCGCGAAAGCCAGGGGAGCGAACGGG